CCUGCUUGGGAUUCUGUCUCUCCCUCCCUCUCUCUCUGCCCCUCUGCCACUCAUACUCACUCUCUCAAAAUAAAUAAAUAAACUAUAACAACAACAACAAAAAUCUUUGCCUGAUUAAUGCGAUGAAGGGCAGGGCUAUCCCAGAUAUAAUUAAUCUGAUUUUCCUACAAACUCUUCUCCUCUUUAUCACUGUUACAUAUUUAUUGAAAUGCAUAUAAGUGAAGAAGGCAACAGGGAAGAUACAGCUUACUUUCUCUAAUAGGUGUACUCUAAGAACAUGUUGUAUAAACAGAACGGGCCUGUAUGUGAAUUCUUACUGAAAUAUCUUAGGGGAUGUUUAAAGAUACAUCAGGAUAAAACUUUUACAAAGUAAAACCAAAAAGUCUUUGUAUUCUGUAUCAGUCAGGAUAGGCUGGUUUAUGUUGCAGUAGCAAUUAACUUCCCAGUCAUCACAAACAUAUUUAUUCCUCAAAUUAUUUGUCCAAAGUGGGUUGGUCAGGAAAGUCUGGAAGUUUGGUAGAAGCUCGGUCUUCACACAUGCUUCUAGGAUCACUCCAGCAUGGGGAAGAGAACUCAGGAGACACUUGGACAAGAAAUUAAGUAUGCUGACCUGGAAAUGGAGAUCCAGUGUUCGGAACUACUCCUGUUGUCCUGCCCAACCAAAAAGGGCUGAGACGAUCAAUCUUCUGUAUGGGUGGAAGGAAAUAAGAACUGGAUAUUAGUGAGCAGCACUAAUGAUGAUCACAUUCUGCCCUUUCAGUUACCAAACUUUUGCUCCUCUCUCCUCCCCGCAGGUAAAAUACACUCUCUGUCCCUGCUCCUUUAAGGGAGACAACCCAAAAUCCAUCCAGUCAUAGCACCAAUCACAAAGUCCAGAAUCUCUGGUAGUUUCAUAUCAAGAAUGAUGCAACAUAUAGUCCAGAUAUAGCUCCUGGUGAUCUAGAGACCUGUACCUAAAAUUGCAGGUUAUCAACCUCUUUACUCACCCACCUACCCACACCCAGUGACAGUGAUAAAACAGGACCUGGAUAAUUUCAAUGAACACUCUUGCUUGGGUAGUGAACAGACAGGAGGCAUACCUCAAUUACUGGGUUGUUGCCACUCAGAAGUCUCACUGGGUAGAUGUUAUCAAGUGCCUCUUCUGGUAGAAGAGGGGCUUCCUGGUUCAUUAUACUUAUGGUCCUUGGCUCAGUCCAGUCUCACUUUCUAUGACCUUCCAUGGCCACGUUUGAAGUGGGUAUCAGGGACUAUACGGCCCUUGGGGUUAGGCAGACUUCUUAGCUUACAUUCUAACAAAUGAUGGCAAAAGUCUCAGUGUUACCUUAAGUCAUGAACUGUCAUGUUCUCUUUUAUUUCAGGUUGAUUUGGGGGGGCAAGAUAAUUCUCUCAAGAACUUCAUUGGAUUUCUUUCUCUUUGAUUUCAGUGUCAUGUACCAAAACACAUGACAGUUCCUUUCCUAUUUGAUGAGUGUCUUUGCUUCCUCACUCCCAUGCCUUUCCCUUCUUUCACGCAUUCACUUCCCUGAUGUCAGUGUGUGUGUCUUAUGCUGGUCAGGUGUUCAGAACAACACUUUUUAUCUCUCUGCUCUAAACAAUGUUGUUCAUUUUAAAGGAUAUUCUAGAUGUCAGUGUGUGGUAGGUAUAAUAAGUGUCCCCCAAGGAUGUUUACAUCCUAAUCCCUACACUUGUAACUAUGCUGUUAUGUGGUAAAGGAGAAUUAAGUUUGUGAAUCAGCUGACCUUAAAACAGGAAGAGUAUCCUAAAUUAUCCAGGUGGGUCCAAUGUAAUCAGGUGGGUCCUUAAAAGCAGAAUAGGCUGUAUGGCAACUAACUUAAAAAUAAAUAAUAAUUUUAAAAAAAGCAGAAUUGGGAGGCAGAAGGAAAGUCAGUGUCAGAGUCCGAGUCAUGUGAUAGGAGAAAGACCUGACCAGCCAUGGCUGGCUUUGAAAGUGGAAGGGGGCCAUGAGGCAAGGAAUGUGGGCAGCCUUUAGAAACUAGACAAGGUAAGAAAAUGGAUUGUCCCCAUGAGCCUCCAGAAAGGAACACAGUAUUGCCAACCCUUUGAUUUUAGCCCAGAAAGAGCCAUUUAAACUAUCAGAACUAUACAAGUAGAUCUGCAUUAUUUUAAGCCAUCAAGUUUGUAGUCAUUUGUCACAGAAGCAACAGGAAAUGGGUACACACGUUAAACCCGCUCAGAGCUUUUACCACUACCUUUUAACCCUGUUGCCAUUAUCCUUAAUUUAGUUUUAGAUGCACGGCAGAGUUUGAAUCAACCUUUGUUGCUCAAAACCCCUUCUCAAUUACAUAUUUUACUAUUUAAGUAUGGGGAGUAGCCAUUUCUUCUAACACCACAAGCCCUUGAAUUUGUGACCUAUUUCCUUUUUAGUCUAGCUUGUAAACCAACCAAUUCAUUCCGUAGCAUACCUCUACCAUAAGCUGAUCUCGCCUUGUCACAUAGAGCCGGUAGCAGCCAGCACGUUCCUAACAUUCUGUUUUCCAACUUCCUCCCUUAGUUCUCCAGUUUUGUUCGGUAUACAGUAUGCAUUCUGAGAUAUCGCACAUGAAAACAUACCAAAAAACAUGGAUCACCGUUCUUCCAGCUCCAUGGAUGGUUUCCUCAACAGUUUCUAGUUAAUGCUACAUUUUUGUUAUGAGUCAACAUAAUAAAGAAGAAUAAAAAAUUUAUUCCUUUCUAAAAAAGGCUUAUGAUGCCUUUUAUCAAGGCCCUUCAAUAAAACUGUUGAAAUGGAAAUCAAAAACUAAAACCAUGUUUGGUAUUGAUGUCCCUCCAAAAUCCCCAUUACCUGGAAUUUAAUUAAACAGUAAUCUGAGUAUGCUGUGAGGAGGCUUUGAAGAUGGAGUUGAAGUUCUGAAUCCACUGACUUCUAAACACAGAGAAAGGAGGUUGAAUCUUGGAUGGCUGGCGACUUGGAGGAUGAUGAAGGGGUAGGGAGAGUUUUAUAGAAGACCUUCGACCCGCAUAGUCUCUAGGAGAAGGCGGAUGGAAAGGAAAAUCCCAGGAGGAGGAAACACAAUGGAAGGAGGAAUGUGAGAUGCAGGUGGAUUAGAAGCAGCAUCCCAGGGACAUCAGUGUGUUAAUGACUGAUGGGGAGGGGAGGUUGGAGGCAGGGGUUGGAGGCUUUGAACCCCUCCAACUUUUGGGUUUUCAUAUACUUUUGGAGCCUCCAAAAGUAUAUGAAAGGGGAUCUUUGGUGGAGCAAGAGAGGAAUGGCGAGGCUAAGCCACAACACCAGGCACUGUUUUACCUUUGGAGCCACAGUGCCCCUGGCGGUGUUCCCUUACUGUCAGGACUGAGGAGAGGUCCAGGGGUGGGUGGUAGCUGACCCUGCCUCGUCCCUUUAAACCCUCACAUCUCCCCCUGAGGACAUGCAGCCAGAGCCAGGGACAAAUGCAGGUUAUCAUCUCAACUUUUUCAUGGCCUCUUCCCUAACUGCUGAUUCUGACCCGUCUGCGCUCUGUUUCUGAACUCUUUCCAUUCUCCUCUGGCUUUGACUACAUUACUCUGAUGGGUACUUACGACUUCUCUUCGCUCUUGGACCAAUAACUCCUGGCUACAGACUGGCACCUCCUUAGUUCACACACGCCUUUGUCCACCCACAUUCCCAGGGGACCUGGAGACUCUGUGUAAAUAACUGGUUGAUAUUUACCAGUUAUUUCUGGCCCUAGAGUGUGUUCUGGCCCAGCAAGGUGGACCAGAUCAGGUGAAAAGCCUCAUCUGGUUCAGCCCGAAAGUGCUCAGAGACUGGGAGGAAGAGCACCAGGGAGCUUAUGCCUUCACACUGCUUCUCUUUACUUAUUUGCUCUAAAGGAAUCACUCCUCUCCCUUCUAGGUAUGAUUGCUCCGGUUCUUUUCACAUCUAUAUGGUUGGUCGUCUGCAUAUUUGAAUUACAUUAGUGAAAAAAAUUCAAAUGAACAAAUCCAAUAAUGUAAAGACUUUCAAAACUGGGCUGAGAAGUAUUCUGAAAAAUGAAUACAAAUGAUUUCACUAUAUAUAUAUUUUUGUUAAUACAGAAUACACUCAGCCUGGAAUAAUUUUUAGCUUCCCAGGGAACACGAAGUUUGAUUAAAGAAAAAUAUAUGCGUUUAUGAAUCCAAAAGGAACACAAGUUAAAUGUGGUAAAUGCAGACAUUCUUAUGAAAGAGGAACAAAGAAAACAGAAAUCAAAUGAGAAAAUAGCCCCAGAUAUUAACAUAUGAAGAAAUAAAAUUAAAAAAAAAAAAAAAAAGAGGCCUCUUUGCUUCUAACUCUUCUUGAAAAGUUUUAGAGUUAAGAGCAAGGGAAAAAUCCUGAGCUCAUAAAUUUAUGUUACUUGAUUACUUUUUCAAAUGUAAAACAAAGAAAAUCCUUGAGAGUAGAGAAGAUACUGGGAAAUGGGAAAUGCUUCCAUGCAGCAUUUUCUAUUUUCAAGAGAAAAAUCUCAGGCUCAGAAAGAAGUACGUAAGCGUGGAUCAAUAGCUCUGAUAUUUACCUUUCCUUGUAGAAGAGAUUACAGCAAUCUACAGUAUCUGAUUCAUUGUCUAGAUAGUACUCUGGUUGCUAGUGCUGAGGCUACAGCAUGUAACCCUAAGCAGGACUGACUUUUUAAAGGAAGAAAAGGCCCCCCCCCAAAAAAAACCCAAAAACCAAACCAAACAAACAAAAAAAACCAUAAACACCACCACCACCAUCACCACCAACUACAAACACACACAAACCCCUCUUGUACUCUAAAACAUAUCCCUGGCUUUGUCCUCCUGAAAACAAUGUGAAGAUGAUUGCACGGUAGCAAAAAGGUCCCUCGACUUUACUCAAAUAUAAGAAAUGUCGAAAUUGAGCUAAAAGAUUAGAUUGCCUAAUAAAACAAUUGAUAAACACAAACCAUUUGAGAUAGAUACAAAGAAUGGACCAUGACAACCCUAGAAGAUUGUUUAAUAUAAUGUCAAAAGCUACCAAUAUAAAAGAUUCCAAUUUACUCCUGUCUCCAGAUGCUGGAAAAGCUUUUGACAGUUAAUUGGAAGCUUUUAUUUUUGACACUGGAAAGCAUGGACUUGCCACAAGAAUUCAUUUCAUGGGCAGAAACAUUAUCUGAUCAUCCAAAGGCCAAAAUUAAGGCUAAUGUGUGUAAUUGGAGAUCUUUUCUUUCUUUCUUUUUUUUUUUUCUUUCCAUUUUUGACAAGGAAGCAGCCAUAGGCCGUUCACAUUUUCCUCUAUUAUUUGGUUCAUCAAUAGAAUCUCUGGCAGGCAAGAUGAAGGAAUAAAAAUGGGGUACUUAAGGCCCACAAUUUUAUUGUGAGUAGAUAAUGCGGUUCAAUUCUGGGUUGCAUGUAGAUUUGUGAAAUCCACUUCUGGGGAGUCAAGUGGGAGGCCGAAUCCCCUCUCCUGGUAGAGGGGCCUAUUUGGUUUAGUUCAAGAGGUAUUUUCCUCUUAGGAACAAGCUCUUUAUUGCUAAAUAAAGAUGCGUGUUACAGAUGGUGCCUUCUUUGUCCUUGGAAGCAGUAACCUAUUCGGAAUUCAGCCUAUUUCUCCUGUUCUUGCCCAGUUUUUUUUUUUUUUUUUCCAGAAUAAUCUCCAUGCAGCGGAGCAGAACUUCCAGUAUUAAGUCAUAUAUUUUUCUAAUUUCUCUUUUCUUUCCUAAUUGAGUAUAUAAAGAACUCAGGUUAUCUGAUGAGGAAAUAGGUGCAAGAGUACUACAAAUUUUUAUAUAUAAACAGAAGGUACAGAUGUUCAUUCAACAAAUCACAAAGGAAGCAGGGUACAGAAUUGCUUUAAACCUAGUUGCACCUAACUGUAAAAAAACAGUGGGAGGUGUGCAGGCCUUAUCCUCUCUUUUUAAACAACUUUAUUGAGCUGUAAUUAAUAUAUCCUGCAGUUUACUCAUUUAAGGUGUACAAUAAAAAGCGUACAAUUCAAGGGUUUUGGUAUAGUCACAGAACUGUGAAAGCAUUACACAAUCAAUUUUAGAAUAUCGUAUCAUCUCUAAGAGAAAUCCCAUAUGUAAUAGCAGCCACUCCCUACUUCUUCCAUCUCUAAAAGCCUAAGGCAAUUAUUAACUCACCUUCUGUUUCUAUGUAUUUGCUCAUUCUGGACAUUUCAUAUGAAUGGAAUCAUACAGUAUGUGGCUUUUUGUGCCUGGCUUCUAUUAUUUGGCAUGUUUUCAAGAUUCUUCUCUGUCGUAACACAAAUCAUAACUUACUUUCUUUUUAUGGAUGGAUGACUUUUAGUUGUAUGAAUGGACCACAUUUUAUCCAUUCAUCAGUUGAUGGACAUUUGACUUUCCACCUUUUGACUAUUAUGAUUAAUGCUACUAUGAACAUUUAUGUACAAGUUUUUAUGUGAACAUGUUUCCAUUUCUCUAGGAUAUAUACCCAAGAGUGCAAUUCCUGGGUCACUUGGAAACUCUGUAUUUAAACAGACUGUUUUCAAAGGAGGGGGUACCAUUUUACAUUUCUCCCAGCAGUGUAUGACAGAGUUUCUUCAGAUCCUCAUCAACACUUGUUAUUAUCCGUCCCUAUGGUUAUAGUCCUCCUAGUGGGUGUGAAGUAUCUCAUUGUGAUUUUGGUUUUCAUUAAUAUCAUGCCUUAACAUGGCUUAACACGAAAUAAAACAUCUUUUUAGUUGCCUAUUGGUCCUUUA
Molecule: long non-coding RNA, 6634 nt
Organism: Felis catus (domestic cat)
Lineage: Eukaryota; Metazoa; Chordata; Mammalia; Carnivora; Felidae
Exons: 3
Source: RefSeq, a predicted model, not a curated record